AAACUGUGAUGUGGGCACUUUCUCAACAAGUCCUUGAAUCUUUCCCAAGCUUCAUACAAGCUCUCUUGGUCAUGAUGAGCAAAUGUCAUUAUCUCAUUGCGCAACUUU
Molecule: non-coding RNA, 108 nt
Organism: Jatropha curcas
Lineage: Eukaryota; Viridiplantae; Streptophyta; Magnoliopsida; Malpighiales; Euphorbiaceae
Source: Rfam